UACGGAGGGUGCAAGCGUUAUCCGGAUUUACUGGGUUUAAAGGGUGCGUAGGUGGGUUGGUAAGUCAGUGGUGAAAUCUUCGAGCUUAACUCGGAAACUGCCAUUGAUACUAUUAAUCUUGAAUUAUCUGGAGGUAAGCGGAAUAUGUCAUGUAGCGGUGAAAUGCUUAGAUAUGACAUGGAAUACCAAUUGCGAAGGCAGGUUACUAACAAUAUAUUGACGCUGAUGGACGAAAGCGUGGGUAGCGAACAGG
This 253-nucleotide ribosomal RNA is filed under the name uncultured bacterium. Its description in RNAcentral is "partial 16S ribosomal RNA". It matches the Rfam family "Bacterial small subunit ribosomal RNA", at positions 524 to 776 of the family's 1533-position model. The record is from RNAcentral.